CCUACGGGUCGCAGCAGUGGGGAAUAUUGCACAAUGGGCGAAAGCCUGAUCCAGCAAUGCCGCGUGUGUGAAGAAGGUCUUCGGAUUGUAAAGCACUUUCGACGGGGACGAUGAUGACGGUACCCGUAGAAGAAGCCCCGGCUAACUUCGUGCCAGCAGCCGCGGUAAUACGAAGGGGGCUAGCGUUGCUCGGAAUGACUGGGCGUAAAGGGCGCGUAGGCGGUUUAUGCAGUCAGAUGUGAAAUCCCCGGGCUUAACCUGGGAACUGCAUUUGAGACGCAUAGACUAGAGGUCGAGAGAGGGUUGUGGAAUUCCCAGUGUAGAGGUGAAAUUCGUAGAUAUUGGGAAGAACACCAGUGGCGAAGGCGGCUCUCUGGUCUGUAACUGACGCUGAGGCGCGAAAGCGUGGGGAGCAAACAGGAUUAGAUACCCGGGUAGUC
Molecule: ribosomal RNA, 440 nt
Filed under: uncultured bacterium
Lineage: Bacteria
Description: bacterial SSU rRNA
Rfam family: Bacterial small subunit ribosomal RNA
Source: RNAcentral